Molecule: ribosomal RNA, 530 nt
Filed under: Naja naja (Indian cobra)
Lineage: Eukaryota; Metazoa; Chordata; Lepidosauria; Squamata; Elapidae
Description: partial large subunit ribosomal RNA
Rfam family: Bacterial large subunit ribosomal RNA
Source: RNAcentral
AAAACAUAACCUUUAGUCAUAAACCCAAUAUUAAAGGCAACGCCUGCCCAGUGAACUAUUUAACGGCCGCGGUACCCUAACCGUGCAAAGGUAGCAUAAUCACUUGUCUAUUAAUUGUAGACCUGUAUGAAAGGCAAAACGAGGGUCUAUCUGUCUCUUGUAGUAAAUCAAUUAAACUGAUCUCCCAGUUCAAAAGCUGGAAUACCAACAUAAGACCAGAAGACCCUGUGAAGCUUAAAUUAAACUAUUAAACCCAAUAAUAGCUCCUUUCGGUUGGGGCGACCUUGGAAAAAAAAAGAACUUCCAAAUACACUGACCCUACAGUCAUCCACUUCUAGGCCAACAAGCCUAUCAACGACCCAGUACAGCUGAUAAUUGAACCAAGUUACUCCAGGGAUAACAGCGCUAUCUUCUUCAAGAGUCCAUAUCAAAAGGAAGGUUUACGACCUCGAUGUUGGAUCAGGACAUCCUAAUGGUGUAGCCGCUAUUAAGGGUUCGUUUGUUCAACGAUUAACAGUCCUACGUGAUCU